RNAcentral lists this ribosomal RNA (253 nucleotides) under uncultured bacterium. RNAcentral's name for it is "partial 16S ribosomal RNA". It matches the Rfam family "Bacterial small subunit ribosomal RNA", at positions 524 to 776 of the family's 1533-position model. The record is from RNAcentral.
UACGUAGGGGGCAAGCGUUGUCCGGAAUUAUUGGGCGUAAAGAGCGUGUAGGCGGUCCGGUAAGUCAGCUGUGAAAGUCAAGGGCUCAACCCUUGAAAGCCGGUUGAUACUGUCGGGCUAGAGUCCGGAAGAGGCGAGUGGAAUUCCCGGUGUAGCGGUGGAAUGCGCAGAUAUCAGGAGGAACACCGAUGGCGAAGGCAGGUCUCUGGGCCAUUACUGACACUGAGAAGCGAAAGCAUGGGGAGCGAACAGG